UUUAAGUCUGCCGAGCGCUAGACUGCGGCACAACCAUUUUAAUGAGCAAAAUGGAUCUCGACACGGUUUACUCACCCCUGUUGAUUUAUGGCGGUCAUGACAAUGAUGGAAAAGCUCAGAUUUCCCGGGCCAGCUGAUCUACAAACCAAGUCCCAAACGUGGUCAUCUUUGGCAUCCUCUCUCACCCUUAUAAUGCACUUGCUGCAUCUCACCAACCACUGGCUUAAGAGAAAAAUCUACUGGAUUGACACAACCCUUUCUCUUAGGGACGGAGCCAGCAUUGUGCAGACUUAAUUAGGAUGGAGGAACCAGACGGAAAGCUAAGCCAGUCAGGCUACAGCCACUGAGUUCCUGAAUCACGGAAAUCUUGCUUAGAGAGCACAUUUGGAGCAGAAGCUGCAGAGAGAGUCUUCCUCAUCAAGCAAACCAGGCUCAGCAUAAGGCAAACCAGGAGAGAAAGUUCUACGGACUUCCAUUUGGUUCUUCCUACCACAUGAGCCACUACUCCAGGACCAAAGGCCAAUAUAUGUAUUCUGCGAAGUGAUGUGUAUAUUACAGGCAUACGCUUGUAACUGGGGACCUAACCACAAAAUGUGUUUAAGGUCUCCAUGGGCCUAUAGAAGGGGAAGAACUAGGGUAGAUACUCUAUGUAUUUUCCAACUCCUAUAAGCCCUAUUCUGACAAUGGCUUUCUAGGUCUCCAGUAAUAAUGCUGAAUUUAUUUAUCCAAUGUCCAAUAACCCCCAAAAUAUUUGGCUAUUUUCCUUUCCACAAUCCAUUUAUCAUGAUGAAUGUCUUCUGGUUCCUUCAGGGAAAUCUAAGAGGAAGAAUCACAAACUUGUAACAGGUCCUUAGCCUGGAGGGUACCUAACCUCUCUGUAUUGGUGUACAUAUAGACAGACUGCAGCCUGAAAAUUGGAUGGGGGUCUUGGAUUAAUCAUGUUUUUUAUUUUCUGUAUCUUACAAUGUUUUGAGAUCUUAAAUAUCAUGCUGUCAGGGACAGACUGCCCUUCUGGGGCUAGCUAAUUGUUAGAAAUAGCACAGGGCUCGGCAGGAAGCACAUCUUUCAUAUGCAAACAACCAAUGUGGAGUCUACAUGUCCCCCUUCCCUCCUUAACUAAAUCUGUC
This is a long non-coding RNA of Mustela erminea (ermine), 1127 nucleotides long. RefSeq lists it as uncharacterized. The transcript is spliced from 3 exons. NCBI's taxonomy places the organism in Eukaryota, Metazoa, Chordata, Mammalia, Carnivora, Mustelidae. The record is from RefSeq and is a predicted model, not a curated record.